RNAcentral lists this long non-coding RNA (578 nucleotides) under Cicer arietinum (chickpea). RNAcentral's name for it is "long non-coding RNA (CARI_LNC000057)". Lineage: Eukaryota; Viridiplantae; Streptophyta; Magnoliopsida; Fabales; Fabaceae. The record is from RNAcentral.
UGUAAAAUAAUUUUAUUUUAAAAUAAACAAAUAAUUAUGAAUUAGAUGAAAAAGUAUAUAAAAGAAUAAUUUUAGAAGGUUGGUCGAAUGAAAUUGAUAUGCCACGUGGUGUAGAGAGUCUCCGACACAUUACUUUAAAAAAAAGAAAGGCAACAAAGAAAGGUGUUGGUGGUAGGAGUAGGACCCAUCCCCACUAGCAAAAUGUGAGAGAAAUGAAAUUAAUUAAAACUGACGGGGUUAUCGGUGACGGGAGAAGCAGUGUGGAAAACACCAUGACAGCCGUUGACGGCUUGUUUAACGGAGUUAAUGUCAAGUAGAUCAACUUUGUGUAGAGUAAGCCUUUCCUUUGCUCCUUCGAACUCUUUCAAGUGCCCAUUUUUAGGAUCAUCUGAAAUUUAUUAAAAUCAAAAUUCAUUUCUAUUGAACUAACGUUAUAACAUGAAUUAAGCUAAUUUAAUUUUAUAGAUGAAAAUGAAAGUAACUAGGAAGUAAGGCAUGCCUGGGUUACGCAAGGUUCCUCUGACAGUGUAGCCUUUCUCCAAGAGGAUCUUAACCAUCCAAGAAGCGAUGAAGCCGCC